CUUGGAAAACUAAGACAUGGAGAGACCACUUCAUUCAUUCCCCUGUUUAGAGAACCAAGCAGUAUUGAGAAAAUUUUGGAUGAGGCUGAAAGAGAGAAUAAAUUAAUUUUCAGGCCUCCAACGCCUCCUGAGGAACUGACAACACCACCUUUUGUGCCUCCAAGAGCCGAUUCUCCGAGGGUUGCUUCUCAAAGAGUCACCUCUCCAAGAGCUGCUACUCCAAGAGCUGUUUCCCCUAGAGCGGCAUCUCCAAGGGUUGCUUCCCCUAGAGCAGCUUCUCCUAGGAAUGCUCAACGCCAUAAGGAGAUAUAUUACAGACCAGAACCAACUCUAAGAAACCAUCAUGCUU
RNAcentral lists this long non-coding RNA (349 nucleotides) under Populus trichocarpa (black cottonwood). RNAcentral's name for it is "long non-coding RNA (PTRI_LNC004242)". The record is from RNAcentral. Lineage: Eukaryota; Viridiplantae; Streptophyta; Magnoliopsida; Malpighiales; Salicaceae.